RNAcentral lists this ribosomal RNA (372 nucleotides) under uncultured organism. RNAcentral describes it as "partial 16S ribosomal RNA". It matches the Rfam family "Bacterial small subunit ribosomal RNA", at positions 527 to 896 of the family's 1533-position model. The record is from RNAcentral.
GGAGGGUGCAAGCGUUACCCGGAAUUAUUGGGCGUAAAGCGUCCGCAGGCGGUUUGUUAAGUCGAAUGUUAAAUCUUGAAGCCCAACUUCAAGGCUGUAUUCGAAACUGACAGACUAGAGUAUUUCAGAGGUAUGCGGAAUUCUGUGUGUAGGGGUAAAAUCCGUAGAUACACAGAGGAACACCAAAAGCGAAGGCGGCAUACUGGGGAAUUACUGACGCUCAUGGACGAAAGCGUAGGUAGCGAACGGGAUUAGAUACCCCGGGUAGUCUACGCCGUAAACUAUGGAUACUAGGUGUUGAUCUGCUCGAUCGGAUCAGUGCCGACGCUAACGCAUUAAGUAUCCCGCCUGGGGAGUACGAACGCAAGUUUA